UGAAGUGCAAGUGGUUUUAUGGCGAUAAAACUUUUUUUCCCAAAGUUAUAGACUCUCGCGCCAAGCGCCUCACCACAGUGCUUCUAGAGCGCGCGGUACUCCGAAACAUUUGGGUUCGUAGGAUACAAAUAUUUUUACCUGCAGGUAUCUGUGACGAUUCUAAGCUGUCGAAUAAGCGUAUUAAUGUUGUGAGUACUCUACUUCUUUCAGAUGUAUUAGUAUAACUCUCGCACUACAGCUGUUGACAAGACGCUAGUCGGACGCGCAUUGAGCAUCUCCAUGAUUUUUACUGUAUAAUUUAAAUAUCGUUCUUUAAUAAUUAUUUUGUAAAGUUUCGUGUAAAAAGUGACAAUGAGUGACAAAAGAAAGAAAGUAUAUACUUCAAAAGCAUCAAGCUCUCCGAUCGCUCACUCAGCGAUGCAGCGAAAGAGGCUCGUUCGAGCUUAAAAUCUGCGAGAAAAGACGAAGAGGAUGAAAAUCUUGCUGUUGAAGGGCAACUUUAUGGUCCUGGGAUCGCAGACUAAAGACCAAAAAUUACGGCAUUUAUGCUGCUAGCCGCGGACCACCUUGCCAAAUCGACUGUCUUCUUCAUGCUGCUGCAGAUCAACCAUUUUGUAAAAUUUAAUUAUGAAAAAAUUAUUUUUUGUACUUUUUGACAUGCCUCAUAAAGUUAUCAAACCCAUUUUUUAACAGCACGAUUCAG
Molecule: long non-coding RNA, 703 nt
Organism: Ooceraea biroi (clonal raider ant)
Lineage: Eukaryota; Metazoa; Arthropoda; Insecta; Hymenoptera; Formicidae
Source: RefSeq, a predicted model, not a curated record